CAGUAGCCGCGGGAAUACGUAGGUGGCAAGCGUUGUCCGGAAUUAUUGGGCGUAAAGGGCUCGCAGGCGGUUUCUUAAGUCUGAUGUGAAAGCCCCCGGCUCAACCGGGGAGGGUCAUUGGAAACUGGGAAACUUGAGUGCAGAAGAGGAGAGUGGAAUUCCACGUGUAGCGGUGAAAUGCGUAGAGAUGUGGAGGAACACCAGUGGCGAAGGCGACUCUCUGGUCUGUAACUGACGCUGAGGAACGAAAGCGUGGGGAGCGAACAGGAUUAGAGACCCGGGUAGUCCCUGUCUCUUAUAC
This 301-nucleotide ribosomal RNA is filed under the name uncultured bacterium. RNAcentral describes it as "partial 16S ribosomal RNA". It matches the Rfam family "Bacterial small subunit ribosomal RNA", at positions 509 to 807 of the family's 1533-position model. The record is from RNAcentral.